ACAGUUGACUCAGAAUUCAAUGCUUUAUGAGAUCAUAACCAAAUUAAAAGUUUAAAAAGCACGGUGAAGGAAGGUUCAAAGUCACUGCCAAGUUUUCCUUAAAAAAUACACAAAUUGAAGGGUAAUUUAGGUAUAUCAAGUCAUCUGCUUGAUACCCACGGCGGAACAAGGUCUCAAAGUCGCUGCCAAAUUUUCCUUGAAAAUAAACAAAUAGGAAGGUACUUCAGGUAUACAAGUCAUUUGCUUGGUACUCACGUAGUGUCGACCGCACUCUAGCACCGCCAUCCCUUUCUCUCUCCCGCGAAAAGAGGUAGCCAAAGCUGCUCUCACUCUCUCACCCAUGGCCAUGCUCCAGAAAAACUCGGUCGGAUCCAUCGGGCUUGACGGCUAGCCCGAACCCGAAGAGCGUACGGAAACGAAGCACAAUGGCGAGCUCAGUUCUUCCCCCGCUGCUAACAAGCUGCUGAAGUUCGCUAUAAUCGGUCUCAUUGCCUGCCUGGGCUUGCUCUGUUUGUACUACGGGAGUUAUUUCGGGCCGCGCUUUCUCCAUCGCGAUUUGGAUGAUUUGCCUAUUUGUGAUUUACAGUUUUCAGAGUUGAUACCAUGUCUUGAUAGAAACCUUAUCUACCAACUGCGGUUGAAGCCGAAUUUGACGUUUAGGGAGCAUUAAGCCUUGCCCGGCUCCAGAGCGGCGUUAUAAUUGCUUGAUACCGCCCCCGCUUGGUUAUAAGAUACCUAUAUGAUGGCCGGAAAGUAGAGAUGAAGUGUGGAAGGCCAACAUUCCACACACCCAUCUUGCACAAGUGAAAUCUGAUCAGAAUUGGAUGGUUGUGAAUGGGGACAAGAUCAGUUUCCCGGGAGGUGGAACGCAUUUCCAUGACGGAGCUGGUAAGUACAUUGUUGCUCUUUCUAGGGUACUUAAACACCGACUCAGUUCUGGAUUCUUUUCUAUCUUUAUUUUGUAGUAUAAAAGGAACAGCAAGUAGAAAAGAAAAACGAAAAAUUCCAA
Pyrus x bretschneideri (Chinese white pear) is the source of this 1009-nucleotide long non-coding RNA. RefSeq lists it as uncharacterized. NCBI's taxonomy places the organism in Eukaryota, Viridiplantae, Streptophyta, Magnoliopsida, Rosales, Rosaceae. The transcript has 3 exons. The record is from RefSeq and is a predicted model, not a curated record.